Non-coding RNA from Hippopotamus amphibius kiboko, 73 nucleotides. NCBI's taxonomy places the organism in Eukaryota, Metazoa, Chordata, Mammalia, Artiodactyla, Hippopotamidae. The record is from the annotation of a RefSeq genome assembly.
UCCCUGGUGGUCCAGUGGGCAAGACUGUGCACUGCCAAUGCAGGGGGCCCAGGUUCGAUCCUUGGUCAGGGAA